ACGUAGGGUGCGAGCGUUAAUCGGAAUUACUGGGCGUAAAGCGUACGCAGGCGGCUAUGCAAGACAGGUGUGAAAUCCCCGGGCUUAACCUGGGAACUGCAUUUGUGACUGCAUAGCUAGAGUUUGUCAGAGGGGGGUGGAAUUCCACGUGUAGCAGUGAAAUGCGUAGAGAUGUGGAGGAACACCGAUGGCGAAGGCAGCCCCCUGGGACCUGACUGACGCUCAUGUACGAAAGCGUGGGGAGCAAACAGGA
Molecule: ribosomal RNA, 253 nt
Filed under: uncultured prokaryote
Description: partial 16S ribosomal RNA
Rfam family: Bacterial small subunit ribosomal RNA
Source: RNAcentral